AGCAGCCGCGGUAAUUCCAGCUCCAAUAGCGUAUAUUAAAGUUGUUGCAGUUAAAAAGCUCGUAGUUGAAUUUCGGGAUCUGUCUAUCGGUCGGGCUUUAUUGUCCGCACUGAUUUGAUGGAUUCUUACCUUCUGAAUAACCAGCAUGCCAUUAAGUUGGUGCGUUGGGGAAGCAGAGCUAUUACCUUGAAAAAAUUAGAGUGCUUAAAGCAGGCUAGUGCUUGAAUAGAUUAGCAUGGAAUAAUAAAAUAGGACGGCAUGGUUCUAUUUUGUUGGUUUCUAGGAUCACCGUAAUGAUUAAUAGGGAUAGUUGGGGGCAUUAGUAUUCAAUUGUCAGAGGUGAAAUUCUUGGAUUUAUUGAAGACUAACUACUGCGAAAGCAUUUGCCAAGGAUGUUUUCAUUAAUCAAGAACGAAAGUUAGGGGAUCGAAGACGAUCAGAUACCGUCGUAGUCUUAACCAUAAACUAUGCCGACUAGGGAUCGGACGAAGUUAAUUUUUUAAUGACUCGUUC
This 513-nucleotide ribosomal RNA is filed under the name uncultured Acaulospora. RNAcentral's name for it is "SSU rRNA". It matches the Rfam family "Eukaryotic small subunit ribosomal RNA", at positions 569 to 1081 of the family's 1831-position model. The record is from RNAcentral. Lineage: Eukaryota; Fungi; Glomeromycota; Glomeromycetes; Diversisporales; Acaulosporaceae.